This is a long non-coding RNA of Monodelphis domestica (gray short-tailed opossum), 2393 nucleotides long. NCBI's taxonomy places the organism in Eukaryota, Metazoa, Chordata, Mammalia, Didelphimorphia, Didelphidae. The record is from Ensembl.
AAAAAAAAGAAAUGCUUACACCCAUACUUAAUCCAUGCCUAUUUUUAGAAUUAAUACAAUAGGGUGCUAAGUACCUAUAAAGGUCAGGCAACUUGUGAAUUUACAAGGAGCAAAGAGGUGAAAACUUAUUCAGAAGUUUUUUUCUGGUUCAAACUUACUAAAAGGAUUAGUCGACUCAGCUGUGUUUUUUCUGGGUCAAACUUACUAAAGGGAUUAGUCAACUCUGCUGUGAAUUCAGAAUGGGCUGUCCUUUGAAAAACGUCUACUGUGAUUGGUAGAUGGAAGAACUUAGGGGAGGUGACAUAGGAGAAAACCCCCUAUAUAAGAAAAAGGAAUCUCUUGAGAAGAGGAUUGUUUGAGAAGGGGCUCUUGAGAGACAGGCUCUAAGGAGGAUCUCUUGAGAACGAAUCUCUUGGAGGAAAUCUCUAAGGAGAUCUCUCAAGGGAGGCUGACUCUGGCUGGAACUCCCUCUGUGGAGACUCUGACCCUCUGAGUCCCUUGCUUGGACAAAUCUUAUGGUGAGUGAUUAAGGACUGACUGGUUUCUCUCUUAAGGCUUAGGCCUGGGUUGGCCAGGGCUGCCCUGGGCCGGCCUAUUCUUUUCUCAUUAAUUCCUUUGCUCUCUCCUCUCUUUCUUUAAUUCCUCAUUGUAUUGUUAAUUAAAUUCUCUAUAAAACCCAGUUGACUUGGGUAUAUUCAUAAUUGGGACUAUUUCCCUGGCGACCACCUUAUAUUUGAUUUAAAACCAAGACAUUGUAGUGAAACAUAUUUUCUGCGGUCACAAAUUUACUCACCCACUCUAAAAUCUACUAUAAUUUAUAUCUUCCACUAUUUUACUCACUACAGUUUACAACCUCAACCAUUUUAAUUAUUACAGUUUAUGGCAUCCACUCUUUUAAUUGCCACACUCUAACUCUUCAUGGUUAGAGUUUGGGUAAAUCCUUUGUGUUCUUCAGUGUCCUGCAGUCAUUUAAUGAAGGUUGUAUUACAUGAAUUCUGAAGGUUCAGCUCUAUGUCUUGUGACUUUUGCUGGUUUAGGGGUCAAUAGCACUCAAGGAUGUGACUGUGGACUUCACCCAGGAGGAGUGGGGCCUGUUGGACCAUUCUCAGAAAGAGCUGUGCCUGGAGGUCAUGCUGGAGAAUGUGCAGAAUCUACUCUCUGUGGGGCUUCCAGUUCCUAGAGAAAAUUUUAUCUCCUGUUUCCAGCAAGGGGAAGCAUCCUGGCUGCUAGAGCAAGAAGACCCAAGGAGCUCCUGUCCAGCUCAAGCCCAGGAAUUCCCAACUUGCCGGACAGCCCUAAAUCUACUCUCAAAGUCGAAAUCAUCUCCUCUCUUGGCAUCAUUUCCAAGUCUGAGGAGUCAGCUUUCUGAGCUAAUAAAAAUAUCAGAUGUGGUCCAAAGAAGCCCAGAGCCCUGGGCCACUCCUCUUAGCCAUCUUUCUUUCUUCCCUCUUUGUUCUACCUGUAUGAGAAACUCUAGGUAAGGCAAUUCCCUCCUCGGACACAGAGCAGUAGCUUGCCUAUGACUGAGUUUUAGAGAAGGACCCAAAUCUCUACGAGGUGAAAUGACUUGUCUAGGAUCACGCAGCCGUGGUAUCCAAGGUAGGACAUGAUGCUUCAACACACUCUCCACUGUGCUUUACCAUCUAUAAAUUGGCAGCGUGUCAAGAAGUGACUCUUCUUUGGGACGGGCCCUUUUUAACUUCAUUUUCUGACCAGCAUUUGGUUUUUUUCUCCUCACUCCCAUCCCCCAUGGCUCACUUCACCUGACCACAGCCUCUCUUAGCUGUCCAUAAGAAAAGUAUGAGAGACUUCUUGACGGCUCAGCGGGCGAAAUUUAGGCAGGCCGAGUCUGCAGCAUCCCCUGCUCUGCCAGUCUAGUCCCCUGUCCAAAAUGUGUCACCAGGGAUCCCCUGGAGGGGACCCCCGAGGCCUAGCCUUCUUGGGGUGACUGAACGGAGCCUCGGAAAGACCACUCUGUAACGGCGUUGGAUUCCAUGACUCCCCAGACCCUUCCGAGCUCCAAAUCAACAAUCCUGAAGCACCUGAUCUCAUCCGACUCUUGUUCCGUCAUUUCAGUCACAUUGACUGACACUGGAGUGGUUGGCCAUUUCCUUCUCCAGGACAUUUUAGAGAAGAGGCUGCAGUGAACCUUCCAUGACCUCAUGGAAUAGAGUUCCUCUUCCCAGGUGUUUGUGACCGUCCAUUCCUGCUGAGUCCACCAAAACAUAGUCAUCUCCCUUCAAGGCUGCAUGAACAGUUCCAAGAUCUCCUGGGAAUGGGUUCACUCCCCUGUUCACAUUCUGGGGAGGAUAGAUUGUGCCUCUCGAGAAGAGCUUGAAAUCUGGUGUGCUGCUUGCAAUAAACGUUCAUUAUCCCUCUUUGAUAAUGUUCCG